UGGGUGGGGCUUUCUCUUCAGUUCGUAUAAAUCUUUCGCCUUUUACUAAAGAUUUCCGUGGAGGGGAGCAGUGAGGGUACAUCGCUCAUAUAGUGGGUUACACACAGUCAUGAGUAU
This is a small nuclear RNA of Chelonoidis abingdonii (Abingdon island giant tortoise), 117 nucleotides long. Its record names the gene U5. It matches the Rfam family "U5 spliceosomal RNA". From Rfam's summary of the family: U5 RNA is a component of both types of known spliceosome. The precise function of this molecule is unknown, though it is known that the 5' loop is required for splice site selection and p220 binding, and that both the 3' stem-loop and the Sm site are important for Sm protein binding and cap methylation. The record is from Ensembl. Lineage: Eukaryota; Metazoa; Chordata; Testudines; Testudinidae.